This is a long non-coding RNA of Priapulus caudatus, 991 nucleotides long. RefSeq lists it as uncharacterized. The transcript is spliced from 5 exons. NCBI's taxonomy places the organism in Eukaryota, Metazoa, Priapulida, Priapulimorpha, Priapulimorphida, Priapulidae. The record is from RefSeq and is a predicted model, not a curated record.
GAAAGUGGGUCAUCGUUGAUUGCUAGCAACAGCGAUGAUGAUGAUGUGACUGUCAGAACAAUUUAAUGUUUCUUUUCUCACAUCGACGAUCGUUAAGCAAAGCACAUGGUCAUCGCAAUGUGCGGACGGUAGAAACUAGCAGGUCUAUAAUUCGCAGCUAGUAGAGUGUGUGGUACUUCAGCGGUUUAAGCGAGUCGGUUUGUGGGGGCUGCCAUAUUGAUCUGGAGCACAGUCGAUGAUCAACACACCACAGGCGAGACAUAAUAAUGAUAGAGAGAGUGACAUAGUAAAACAGGAAUAAGGAGCACGAGAGAAAGGGAGCAAGUGGCACCGAGUGAAAAAUUCCACGUGGUGACAGUAGGCCUACGUUGUGACGAGUGAUGUGCGAUCACCGUGGUUACCUGCCCGCGCUCACCUUCACGUCAGACAUGAAGAUACGCCCGCGUGGGCUCUGACGGGCGAGAGAAAGUUUGGAGAAUUGCGACCGAGAACGGGGAGAAGUAAAUCGUCCACAUCCGGCAGCAGGAGAGUGCGGAGACGACGGGACAGCGCGCGGAUCCGUGAGUCGAUGCCUGGAGGCUGAGCGAAGUGCUCCGUGGCCGGUUUAGAGCUUCCACACACACUCAGAUGUCUGGGCGGUUCAGAUAGAAGCGACCACAGCGACCCUCUCGUCCACUCACCCUCACCCCGUGCCCCGGGCCGAGGGGAAUAAACACUGAUCAGCAGUGCAUUACGCGGGCCGGGCUGGCUUCAUGAGUCUAACCACAAUGGACGGACACCAGUACUCACCGCAGGACCAGUGGUCACCGUACGGCAACAGCCCCGGCUACCCUAGCAGUUACGGCUCGACAGGCGAUCCCAUGCCUACGAGUGAAUGGUUUCCAUUUGCGCGAAAAUUGCGCUUUAUUGGAGCCAAUUACACACGCUUACGCUUGGAUAGUGAAUGAAGAACUCUGAACGCCAACUCGGCGCCACUAGAAUUAAUUCAGAC